UAAUCGAUUAUACAAAUGACCGUUGCCAAAGUAUUUUUAAACUCUGAAAGAUAAUCGAUUAUGCUAAGUAAAAUCUGAAUAUGAUUUUUGAACGUUGUCAGGUAAUCAAUUAUACGAUUUGGAUAAUCGAUUAUUUUGCUUAAAAUCUGGAAAUGAUUUUUGAACGAUUUGAAAAUAAUCGAUUAUGCAAAUCAGAUAAU
RNAcentral lists this long non-coding RNA (200 nucleotides) under Nicotiana benthamiana. RNAcentral's name for it is "long non-coding RNA (NBEN_LNC000453)". Lineage: Eukaryota; Viridiplantae; Streptophyta; Magnoliopsida; Solanales; Solanaceae. The record is from RNAcentral.